GGCCUCAGCCGGCGCACCUGGCGGAGGAGGAACCUCGCGACGCGCUCUCGGGCAUCGGUUUCUCCCAGCAAAGCUUGGAGGGUUUAGCUGCGCGGAGAGCUCAGCGAGCUCUUCUGUGUCUGUUUGGGGCGUGUGGGCUCCGGGAGCGUGAGGACCGGGAAGCUAGGAGGCUCCUUCCCUUCUGGCGGCUCCCUCACUGAGACCGGGCGGUUUGGUUGCGGGGGAAGUGGAGACGAGCCACCCUUGACCUUUGACUGCAAGAACUCACCUUGAGCAGGAUAGAGCAAACAUUGAGUGGGCCAGACACUGUUCUGAAAAAUACGCAGUCGACUUUUGAACAGCACAGGCUUGAACUGCAUGCGGCCACUAAUACUCGGACUUCCUUCUGCCUCUGCCAUCCCUAAGACAGCAAGACCCACCCCUCCUGCUCCUCAGCCUACUCGAUGUGAUGAUGAUGCAGAGAUUCAGAGAGUCUAAGCAACUUUUCUAAAUCAUCUAGCUGGAAUUCAGUAACUGAGCCAGGAUCUACCCCAGGUCUGUCUGACUCCAAAGCCUGUGUCUUCCAGCACACACUGCUGCUGCCUGGGGUAAGAGCUCAACAUUAUGCUUGGAAAAAGGAGCUUUUCUAUCUCAUUGUGGAGGGCUGGGAUGUCUCCCGUGUCCACGCUCCCUUCUUUCUUAGUAAUGGGCACGUUACUGCGUUCCCCAGCCUCUCUUGCAGCAAGGUGACCAAGUGAACACUUUCUGGCUAAUGAGAUGUACAUAGAAGUCUUGUGUAAUACUUCUGGGAAGCUUUCUGAAAGAGAGCGAAUACACUCUUCUCCCAUUUUCCUCAAAAACCUUCUAGCAGGAAUGUGGAUAUGAUGUCUGGAGCUCUAGCAACCAUAUCAGACCACAAGGAUGAAUGUACACCCCAGGAAUGGAAGAGAGGAAAGCCAGAAAAAGACUCGGUCCCUGAUGGCUGAAGAGCUACCAUACCUGCCCCUAGAUCUUCUAUUUCUGAUCAUCUUCUAUGCAAGGGAACCCAGAUGAAGAUGCUGCCCUCUGAGCAAUGGCCUGUGUCCAGCUCCUCUCUUCCUGAUCUUCUCAGGGCCAAGUCUACCCCGAGUUAAACUCUACUCUCCUUAAGGGCAAGAAUCCCAGCACAAAGCAUGAGCACCAGGCACACACUAAGCAACAAGGAAAUAUUUGGAGAAUUGAAUUGAAUGCUUUAAUUUCAGUUGGAUCAACAACCUUGUCCAAGGUCACACAGGGAGGCAAUAACAGAGCCCAUGACUGGAACCCAUGACUGGAACUCAUGAUUGUUGACUUUGGAUAUGAACCUUAAGUAGCACCUUCAGUGUCAAUUCUGAGAUUACUGUCACAUCCAAGCAUGGACAUGGAGAGUUCUGUUAUUCCUGGGAGGGGGCAGAGGGGCCGUGGCUUUGUACUUUGCAUUUUCAAUGCACCUUUGUCCCCUUUCUUUGGUCAUGAAAAGCAUGACCCAGCACCUUGUAUGUGUUGGAGGCUGGGCAAGACCAAGGGCACCUGGAGGGUGGAGGUCUGAGAUUUAUGGGAUACUUGAUCAUUUUCAAGAUUUUUUUUCAUUUGCUGUGGACUGAAUGCUUGUUUCCUCUCAAAAUAUGUAUAUAGAAGCCCUAAUCCCCCAUGGGGUGGUAUUUGGAGAUGGGGCCCAUGGGAGCUGGUUAAGGUUAGAUGAUGUCAUGGAGAUGGAACCCCCAUGAUAGAUUUUGCUCUUGCAAAAGGAGAAAAAGACAGGAUAGGUUUCUCUCCACUGAAUGAGGAUGCAACAAGAAGAUAGUCUGCAAACCAGAAGAGCACUCUCAGCAGACACCAAAUCUGCUAGUACCCUGAUCUUGGACUUCCCAGUGUCCAGAGCUGUGAGAAAUGUUCAUUGUCUAAGCCACCCAGUCUAUGGUAUUUUGUUAUAGCGUCCAAAUAGACUAAGACACAUGAUGUAAGUGUUUCCUAAAGUAGCAUUGCACUGGGGGCAACCAGUGUAACAUGGUUGGUGAUAUGUGAAUGAACCUUUUAAAAUGUUAAUACUUUUGCAUUUAUUUUAAUAUGUGUUAAAAAUAUUUCUGGUGUAUUAUAUCAGAAAUAGUUUUCAC
Molecule: long non-coding RNA, 2111 nt
Organism: Homo sapiens (human)
Lineage: Eukaryota; Metazoa; Chordata; Mammalia; Primates; Hominidae
Gene: STX18-AS1
Product: STX18 antisense RNA 1 (head to head)
Source: Ensembl